UACGGAGGGGACUAGCGUUGUUCGGAAUUACUAGGCGUAGAGCGCGCGUAGGCGGAUUUGCAAGUCGGGGGUGAAAGCCCGAGGCUCAACCUCGGAACUGCCCUCGAUACUGCAAAUCUCGAGUCCGAGAGAGGUGAGUGGAAUUCCUAGUGUAGAGGUGAAAUUCGUAGAUAUUAGGAAGAACACCAGUGGCGAAGGCGGCUCACUGGCUCGGUACUGACGCUGAGGCGCGAAAGCGUGGGGAGCAAACAGG
RNAcentral lists this ribosomal RNA (253 nucleotides) under uncultured bacterium. Its description in RNAcentral is "partial 16S ribosomal RNA". It matches the Rfam family "Bacterial small subunit ribosomal RNA", at positions 524 to 776 of the family's 1533-position model. The record is from RNAcentral.